This 853-nucleotide ribosomal RNA is filed under the name Flavobacteriales bacterium TP71. RNAcentral's name for it is "bacterial SSU rRNA". It matches the Rfam family "Bacterial small subunit ribosomal RNA", at positions 387 to 1245 of the family's 1533-position model. The record is from RNAcentral. Lineage: Bacteria; Pseudomonadati; Bacteroidota; Flavobacteriia; Flavobacteriales.
ACCAGCCAUGCCGCGUGCAGGAUGACGGUCCUAUGGAUUGUAAACUGCUUUUAUACGGGAAGAAACCCUGCUACGUGUAGCAGCUUGACGGUACCGUAAGAAUAAGGAUCGGCUAACUCCGUGCCAGCAGCCGCGGUAAUACGGAGGAUCCAAGCGUUAUCCGGAAUCAUUGGGUUUAAAGGGUCCGUAGGCGGUUUUAUAAGUCAGUGGUGAAAUCCGGCAGCUUAACUGUCGAACUGCCAUUGAUACUGUAGAACUUGAAUUACUGUGAAGUAACUAGAAUAUGUAGUGUAGCGGUGAAAUGCUUAGAUAUUACAUGGAAUACCAAUUGCGAAGGCAGGUUACUAACAGUAUAUUGACGCUGAUGGACGAAAGCGUGGGGAGCGAACAGGAUUAGAUACCCUGGUAGUCCACGCCGUAAACGAUGGAUACUAGCUGUUCGGAGCAAUCUGAGUGGCUAAGCGAAAGUGAUAAGUAUCCCACCUGGGGAGUACGCACGCAAGUGUGAAACUCAAAGGAAUUGACGGGGGCCCGCACAAGCGGAGGAGCAUGUGGUUUAAUUCGAUGAUACGCGAGGAACCUUACCAGGGCUUAAAUGGGAGACGACAGGACUGGAAACAGUUUUUUCUUCGGACGUCUUUCAAGGUGCUGCAUGGUUGUCGUCAGCUCGUGCCGUGAGGUGUCAGGUUAAGUCCUAUAACGAGCGCAACCCCUAUUGUUAGUUGCCAGCGGGUCAUGCCGGGAACUCUAACAAGACUGCCGGUGCAAACCGUGAGGAAGGUGGGGAUGACGUCAAAUCAUCACGGCCCUUACGUCCUGGGCUACACACGUGCUACAAUGGACGGUACAGAGA